Molecule: ribosomal RNA, 497 nt
Filed under: uncultured bacterium
Lineage: Bacteria
Description: partial 16S ribosomal RNA
Rfam family: Bacterial small subunit ribosomal RNA
Source: RNAcentral
GAUGAACGCUGGCGGCGUGCCUAAUACAUGCAAGUCGAGCGAACGGACGAGAAGCUUGCUUUUCUGAUGUUAGCGGCGGACGGGUGAGUAACACGUGGAUAACCUACCUAUAAGACUGGGAUAACUUCGGGAAACCGGAGCUAAUACCGGAUAAUAUUUUGAACCGCAUGGUUCAAAAGUGAAAGACGGUCUUGCUGUCACUUAGAGAUGGAUCCGCGCUGCAUUAGCUAGUUGGCAAGGUAACGGCUUACCAAGGCAACGAUGCAUAGCCGACCUGAGAGGGUGAUCGGCCACACUGGAACUGAGACACGGUCCAGACUCCUACGGGAGGCAGCAGUAGGGAAUCUUCCGCAAUGGGCGAAAGCCUGACGGAGCAACGCCGCGUGAGUGAUGAAGGUCUUCGGAUCGUAAAACUCUGUUAUUAGGGAAGAACAUAUGUGUAAGUAACUGUGCACAUCUUGACGGUACCUAAUCAGAAAGCCACGGCUAACUACGUG